CCUACGGGUGGCAGCAGUGGGGAAUAUUGGGCAAUGGGCGCAAGCCUGACCCAGCAACGCCGCGUGAAGGAAGAAGGCUUUCGGGUUGUAAACUUCUUUUCUCAGGGACGAGGCAAGUGACGGUACUUUAGGAAUAAGCACGGGCUACCUACGGGCCAGCAGCCGCGGUAAUACGUAGGUGGCAAGCGUUAUCCGGAUUUACUGGGUGUAAAGGGCGUGUAGGCGGGAAAGCAAGUCAGAGGUGAAAACCAUGGGCUCAACCUGUGACCUGCAUUUGAAACUGUUUUUCUUGAGUACUGGAGAGGCAGACGGAAGUCCUAGUGUAGCGGUGAAAUGCGUAGAUAUUAGGAGGAACACCAGUGGCGAAGGCGGUCUGCUGGACAGCAACUGACGCUGAGGCGCGAAAGCGUGGGGAGCAAACAGGAUUAGAUACCCGUGUAGUC
Molecule: ribosomal RNA, 443 nt
Filed under: uncultured bacterium
Lineage: Bacteria
Description: partial 16S ribosomal RNA
Rfam family: Bacterial small subunit ribosomal RNA
Source: RNAcentral